RNAcentral lists this transfer RNA (91 nucleotides) under Streptomyces tuirus. RNAcentral's name for it is "tRNA-Thr". Lineage: Bacteria; Bacillati; Actinomycetota; Actinomycetes; Kitasatosporales; Streptomycetaceae. The record is from RNAcentral.
UGGCGGCGCUGCUCGUGGCGAGCUGGGGCUUGGUGCGUUCCAGGUCGCGGUCGAGUUCGGCGAUGCGGUGGUACGACUCUUCGGUCGCCGA